Molecule: long non-coding RNA, 201 nt
Filed under: Gossypium barbadense (sea-island cotton)
Lineage: Eukaryota; Viridiplantae; Streptophyta; Magnoliopsida; Malvales; Malvaceae
Description: long non-coding RNA (GBAR_LNC008097)
Source: RNAcentral
UGUGGAGCAUACUGACUAAAUUUUAAUUGCUACACCAGGGGAAACACGGCCCUGUACAUGAUUGUGUAUCGCACACGGCUAAGACACACGCCCGUGUCUCUACCCGUGUAGACAAAAAUAGGCUAUUUACCAAGUUAUUUUGCCACCCAAACUUGUGCUCACCUACAUCAAACUUAAAGGCACCAAUACAUAGCAUCCAUA